CCCUUUUCAAGGAUGUAGUGUCCUUCUUUGUCUCUCUUAAUCAGUAUUGGUUUGAAAUCCACUUGAUCUGCAAAGAGGAUAGCUACUUCUGCUAUUUUUGGGUUCUCAUUGCAUGGAAUAUUGUUUUCCACCCUUUAACUUUCAGUCUAUGAGUUUCAUUUUGAAUUAAGUGUGUUUCUUGUAUACAGCAUAUUGUUGGAUUUUGCUUCUCAACCCAUUCUGCCAGUCUAUUUCUUUUGAUUGGUGAAUUGAGACCAUUAACAUUGAUGGUUAUAACUGAUACAUAUUGACUUAUCAUUGUCAUGACUUUUUCUUUUUGUUCCAUUCUCCCUCUUUAGAUUUAAUUUCUUGUCGCACCUGAUGGAUUCAUUCUACUGUGCUUCCUGGGCUUGUGAUCCUCAUUGUCUUUUCCUAGGAUAUUGUCUAAAAAUUUUUGCAGUGCUGGUUUGGUAUUCAUGAAGUUCCUAAGGUGCUCUUUGUCAUGAAAUUAUCUUAUUUCUCCAUCAAUUUUGAAAGAUAGUUUUGUAGGGUACAUCAAUCUGGGCUGGAGGCUGUUUUCCUUUAGGGUUUGGAAUAUGUCACUCCAAGCUCUUCUUGCCUUGAUGGUUUGCGUUGAGAAGUCUGCUGUGAUUCUGAUAGGCUUUCCUUUGUAUGUGAUUUGUUUCUUUUCUCUAACUGCUUGUAGAACUUUGUUCUUCUGUUGGGUUUCUGGAAUCUUAACUAUUAUAUGCCUAUGUGUAGAUUUUUUUUGAUCAAGGCUAUGUGGUGUCCUAUAUGCCUCACUUAUCUGUAUGUCAAGCUCUUUUCCCCUGCUUGGGAAGUUUUCUGCCAUCACUUCUGUGAACAGAUUUUUUUAUGUCAUCUGCACUCUCUCCUCUUUCUUGUUUGACUCUCAUUUUGUCUUCUCAUUUUGAUGGGGCGGGGGCAGUGGAACAGCAGCCUGGAAACCCCUUCCUCUGGUCUGGGAAUGGUGGAAUGGUGGCUGGGAGGCCUCUUCCUCUGAGUGGUGGAACCUACAAACAAUUAUUCUUUAAAAUAUUUGCAAUGUGCAUUUGGUUGAAUCUAUAGAUGUGAACCCCAUAGAUAUGGAGGGCUGUGUGUGUGUGUGUGUGUGUGUGUGUGUGUGUGUGUAUUUUAACCCAGUAUUAGCCAACCUAACUCGGAAUGGAACACAGAGUUGAUAUUGUGUGAGGAAAGGGAGUCAUGCUUUAUAAACCUUCCUAUCUAUACCUGAUACUCUGCUCAGCCAUCUAGGUACUUACAAUGUAUUUCCCUAGAUGGAUGGAUGUGAUUUGAAAAAAAAGACCAGAAUGGAGGGAUAAAGGCAUACAGGUCCAGUGUAUCAGGGUUGCUAGUUGGCUGAUUUCGAUCUCCUAAUAAGUUUUAUUGUCUUAUCUUAGAGAUAGCCAAGCCAGUCACCACUGGUUAAUUCCCUUCUUUUUGCUGUGCCCUGACCAUCUCCAUAAUCUUCCAGGAUUCCCAGUGUUAGAAGAGCAUAUCCCAAAAAGUGAGCCAUUAUUCAAUCUAUUCUAGCAAUUCACUGUCAGUAUCUAUGCUUCCUUCAAAUGUUUUCUCCAACUAUCUAUGCUCCAUCACUCCAUUUCCUUGAUGCUAAGAUACACAGUGUUUCUUCUUUUUACAUUUCUGAACUUGGAAUCCAUGUGAAAUCAGGGGGUGGAUCACAAUGUGAUAGCCUGGUUUCUUCUAGUGGCCCACCAAACAUGAGCUAUCAGUAGUGUUUUAUGUUUGUUCCACCACUGAUUGUGGGAGCCCCGAGAACCCUAAAGCAGGAAUAGCAGCUAUAAUCACUCCCUUGGUAACCAGGGUGGGGCAGAGGCUCCUUUUCUAUCACUUGACAGAUCUUCCAGGCUCUGAAUUCUCUCUAACUGCCCUCGGCUCUGUCUCGGUGGCUGUGGCACAGUCCUUUUGCUUCCUUCCUGUGUUGUUUUCCUUAUCUGGGCUUUUGUUGGACUCCAACAAGGCUGCCUGUUCCUGAGUCCUGGCUUUGCCUCCAUCCUGUGCUACCUCUUGGCUUGGUGCUAUGUGAACUCUGCCAUGCAUGUGCGCACAGAUACCAGUGAGUCUCCUGGACUGUGUGACCCAGGGACUCAGCGGCCAUGUGCCACAGAGAGGCUUUCUGAGCGGGGACACGAACUCCCCUUUUGAUUUUUGUAACAUCAUCACUUUGCCCAGUCACUAUGAUGUAGUAUGGGCUCUAUAACUGUUUAGACAGUCAAAUAAUUCAAUUUUUUAAUUCACAUGCAACAUAUAGGUGCAGAACAUUAAGUCUUGCUUACUUUUUCUUUUCUUCAUGACAAGGAGGAGUUAUAAGACACCGCUAUUAUUUGCAGGGCCGAGUAUCCAGGCUGCAGGGCUCUCUGAGGCAUUCAUUUUUCCCCCAGAAGUUUCUGUCUUGUUUUCUGCCCCUCUGCCUGGGAGGGGAAGUGUUGGCAUUGUCGGGUAUGUGUGGGGUGGGCUGCACCAUACAUGACUUAUCUCUCUUUCUGCAUAGCUUUGUACCUGGCCAUGUACCUGGGACAGGGCCGGGUUUAUGGCUGAGCUUUGAGUCAGAGCCAGGUUGGGCUCCACAAGCUUUGGCCUUGCAGCCCAAUCUAUACCCUUGGGUUCUGCUACCUUAUCUGGGUUAAGUUCACUCCUGGCUUUGCUCCAACACUUUUGUAUAGGUUGUGGCUCUUAAUGUUCUUAACUUCCUGGGUGAGGGCAGCUCUCCACCCAUUAGGAUAAUUGCACUUUCCUGUGAAUGGAACACUUUCUUACUCCACUUUCUUACUCGCUGGAGGCAAAGGAGCCUAAGGGAGCAGAGUCCUGUUCCCCCACUUCCCAUAGCAGGCAGGACAGGCGGUGGAGUUAAUACCCUUCUCACAUAAUGACCUAAUUUGUUCACAAUGACUAUGGAUUAUUUUUCAUGAAUGUUCACUCUUACCCAGAUUUUGGUGUACUAGUUCAGAUCUCUCCUAGAAAAAAAAAAGAAAAAGAAAAAGCCAGCCAUUAUUUAUAGAGGGGGUGCUAGUCUUCAUUUGCUAUAGUUAGGGGCUGUGCUGGGAGCCAGAUUAUAACAUCCUAAAAUGGGGACAGUAAGGAAGUGCUUUUCAGUAGUGAGUUUAGCUGGCUUGUGGGGGUUUUUGUUUGUAUUUUGCAGUGCUAGGGAUUGAACCCAGGGCCUGGCACAUGCUAGGCGAAUGCUGAACCACUGAGCUAUAGUCCAGUCCCUAUGAAUUGAUUCUGAAAUGUUUAGAAAUUUUGCUAGCCACCUGGCCAUGGUAUUUACAUAGGGAAACUGUUGAAUACUAUAUCUGGGUCUCUCUUUCUCUGUCUCUGAGUCUCUGUCUCUGUCUCUGUCUCUCUCUCUGUCUCUCUUUCCCCCUACCUUCCUCUCUAUCUCCAAGAGAAGCCUAGAAUUAGAUGCCGUUUGUGCGUGCGUCACCAGAAUCAAGAACGAACAUCACGUUCAGGUGUGAAGAUUCCGGCCUGCUGCCAGGAAUGAUCGGCUAACACAGACUUACUUGUCCCUGGUGGAAGGAGGCCGCCUGGCCUAAAGAGGGGACUCCACCCUCUUCCCCUUCCUACCCCAGGGCACCGAAGCCACCCUCUGGGGUCAAAGUAAAAUUCCUGUGUUUCAGUCCUCAGCUGUUGGUGUUUGCACCCUCAGCAUUUUUCACAUUGCACUAAUUUAAGCCAAGCAGGCAAAUACUUGAGAAUAAAAUAAGCCAUCAUAGUGAAACCAGGGCAUUUUAGAUUUUUUUCCCGUGUGAUACAAGCCCUGUAAGUAUGCAUGGCAGAUAAAGAGUGGAAGGAAAAAGGGGUCUUUACUACCUCGCGCCCAUCACCCAUGCCCCGUGGACAAUGUCGCCACGGGAAGAAAGGGUGGUUCCUACUUUCUAGGUGGCCACCAUCAGGGAUUCUGUGCCCAGCUCAAAUUCCCCGGGCAGCCUGUCUUGCACAGGAGUGAGGGGGUUGGGAAUAAGGCUAAGGAGGGAACACCUAAGCAAAGACUGCAUGGCUGGGGUCCUGCAAAAACUGGAAGGCAGAGAGGACAGGAGGUUCCGCAGGAGUAAAAGGAAAUGGGGUGAGGAGCCAGGGCAGGGGAGGGGGCCUUGCGCCACCUGGGCAGCAGCAGCUCCACGGCCCUGGGAUUUUCUUUAAGACUCUCACCUCAGCAAGACAAUCGCCAAUCUGUGACCUUCCUGGGGACCCUCCAGGCACCCCCACUCACAGAUGCUUUUAUUUUAUAAGAGGUCUCAUCCACAAAUGAAUGGAUAAAGAUGUGGUGGAUAUGCACAGUGGAUAUCGCUCAGCCCUAGCAAGGAUGAAAUCCUAUCACCUGUGGCAGUGUGACUGGAACCAGAGGGCACCAUACCAAGGGACACGAGCCAGGCAUAGAAAGACACACACACUGCACGGCAUGACUCGCAGAUGUGACCUAACAAAGUUGACUUCAAAGAAGUAGAGAGUAGAGUGGUGUUAGCAGAGGUCAGGAAGGGAGGAUAAAAAGUAUAACAGGUACUGAAGCAGUGGAUGAAGGAGUAAGUCCUAACGUCCUACAGCACAGCAGACUGGCUGUAGUUCACAACUUAUGUGGUCUCCAAAGAACUAGGAGAAAUGAAUUCAAAGAAUAAGUGUUUAAUGCAAG
This 4651-nucleotide long non-coding RNA is filed under the name Heterocephalus glaber (naked mole-rat). Its description in RNAcentral is "lncRNA (ENSHGLG00100034476.1)". Lineage: Eukaryota; Metazoa; Chordata; Mammalia; Rodentia; Bathyergidae. The record is from RNAcentral.